Pogoniulus pusillus (Red-fronted tinkerbird) is the source of this 2610-nucleotide long non-coding RNA. RefSeq lists it as uncharacterized. Lineage: Eukaryota; Metazoa; Chordata; Aves; Piciformes; Lybiidae. The transcript is spliced from 3 exons. The record is from RefSeq and is a predicted model, not a curated record.
CCUACCCUGUUCCAGCUGCUUCUGCUUUGCUACAUGGCCAGCCAACCAUGUGGUGGACUGACCACUUUCUCUUGCCAUCAUUCCCAUUUUGUAUAUGUUUUUUAGCUGUUUCCCUUCCCUAUACUUUCUUUUGUAAUUCCCCUUACCUUACACACCUUUUAUUUACUGUUAAAGUUCUCCUUUUAACUUCCAAAUCAGAGCAAGACUAUCCUUUGGGUGUUUUCUACUCCUUUUUACCCUUCUGCCAAAAAAUCUUUCAUAUGGGGGAAGGGAGAGGGGGAGGCACCCUGAAAUAUUUGUUCUGUUAGGCUUUGGUCUCUGAGAAGUUUAAACCAGAACUAAUAAGUUUUACAGCUUUGUUUCCCUCACAGCACUAUAUUUAAGCCUUUUACAACCAUGCAGAAAGACAGCCAUCUCCAAGAGAGACAUUUUGAAUUUCAGAGAGGAUUUGGCUAACCAUCACAAGUGCAAGACAUCAUGAAAAUUUCUGGAACUACUUUCUGAAGCUUUACAUCCAUAGAGAUUCUUCUGCCUCCAAACAGAUGCUUGUAAAAAGGAAACUGGAGUUACAAUUUGGUUGGAUGAAAGGUCAAGAUGUUUUAGUGCCUGAAGUAGCACUGGAUAGCACUUGAGUAUCCUGCUAUGUUACCAGUUAAGGCAAGAAUUAGAUUCUCGAUCUCCAGCGUUCAGCUGUAAUGAAGAAGUGCAUGUUUCUUCUCCAGAAAUAACUGAAAAUAAUUGCACAAAUCUGAUUGUGUUUUGCUCUGAACUAGUGUCGUGGUAGGCCUAAAUAGGCCAAAAUAGGCUUAGACAUGUCCUGGCUUGCCAGGCACAUUUUCAUGCUCUCCCUCCUUCUGCUAUGGGGAGAAGCAACCAUGGGAAAGAGGACGAAGAACCUGGAACCACUGAGUCUAAGGGCUGUGGCUUGCCCAGACUUGUUUUGCUUCUGUUUACAUCCUGUGUUGAACAAGGCAGAUACACCUGGCUUGUGUCUGGCUUGUGCAAGGCCUGUGUUUUCCUAAAUUUGGGUAAAGCAAGCCUAUGGUUUCACCUAAUAUGGUCAAGCUUGGAUAACUGCCAUUCUGAUUGGCUAAUUUGUGUCCAAAAGCCCAUUAGUCUUGGGCUGUACUGAUAAAAAGAGAUGAGCAGGUAACACAAUGUGCUCUGCCGUUGUAUUUGUGCCCGCUGCCACCAAUGCUCCCUGCCUCUGGCAGUGAUUCUGCCAUUGCCUCCUGCAGCGUUAUGCUUAGCUAUAAGUAGUUCUGCUGAACUGCCUAGAAACUGCUGGCUUUGAGUUUACCAGGAAACAGCUUUAAAUGCCUCCAUGCAAUCAGCCUGCAUAGCCAGCAUGACAUUGUGCUGAGACCACACAUCCCAAGACAUCCUGCCUAUACCUGAAAGUCUCCUGCCAAGAUGGGAAGUCCUGAAGGUACACAGAUCACCCAGAGGAGACAGGAUAAAGUCAGAGAUUGUCUGCCUCCUUUCCUCAGCACCCUGAGAAGCCUGGGAAGAAUCAGAAGCCUCAGCAGCUCACAAGACAUUGACAGAACCCUCUGCAAGCAUUUGGGUACUGUUUGAAGCUGUAGCUAGUCCCAGGGAAUCGAGAGACUAAUAUUUUGUGAGUAAACACUUGAAACCUCUUGUAAUUCACUAAUUGCCUUCUGCCAUAAGCAGAAAAGUGCCUCUCAAGUCCCCUGGUGGGAAAGAGGUAUAAUUGAAACUAAGAACCUCUUUCCAGUAUACUGUUUGCAUUUGCUAGUUAUUUCUUAAAAUGUUCUAGUUUUGCCUGUUGCCUGUGUGUGUAAGUAUCCAACCCAUGUGUUCUGAACCUCGUAAAUAAGUUUUCUGGUGAGAUUUAAUGUUAAUAAACAGUUUCAUAGUAAUUAACAAUCUUUGCCUGGAUAUCAAAAUUAAUAUUGAUUAUUAAUGUUGUGUAGUUUGUAACACCUAGCUUCCUAGUUUCACAAACUCGUGGGGAGGCUGCAGUUGGCCAGUAGCCCCAGGGGAAUCAUACACAGUAGCGAAGCUAAAGCAAUGAACAUAUUUUGUCUCAAUCACAUCCUCUGUAAAGGAAUAUGGAAGAUACACAGGAGUUUAGGAGCACACGUAUUUUCCCUGGCUUACAGGCUUUUGUUGUUGUUGUUGUUGUUCUGCUGCUGAGGUACAAACACUCAAUAAAUGGUUAAACUGAGGCCUCAUAAUUAAUCUCUGUCCUCUUUCAACUGGCAUUUCUUUAUGUCAAUUCAAAAGUCCCCUUCAAAAGUUUGCCUACAUCCAAAAAGAGAGCUUAAUAAAGCAAAUAGACUCUUGAAUAAUUUUGCUUAAUCCAAGUAGAGAGGUUUACAAGAAGCUACGCUAUGAAGUAGAUGUUUGCCUUGAAUGGUAACACUUUCAAAUCAGUUUAACAAGACAGUUGCUAGCUGAACCCCUGAUGUUCCUAUGACACAAAAGUUGUAUUUGUAACACAUGAUAACUUACUCUGCUUAGGAGAACUAGCAUCCUGGAUCCAGCUUUAAGAGUGAAAUUCAUCUGUUGAUACAAAGGAACCAAGAAAUCUCAGAAAGCAUUCCUUUCCUGCUAUAAUUUGGCAGUUGCAGAGAGGGUUGACAG